Epinephelus lanceolatus (giant grouper) is the source of this 420-nucleotide non-coding RNA. NCBI's taxonomy places the organism in Eukaryota, Metazoa, Chordata, Actinopteri, Perciformes, Serranidae. The record is from RefSeq and is a predicted model, not a curated record.
GCAAGAUGGUGGUGUUCCAGUCUUUCUCCCGUGAUCCCAGGGCCUUCCUUUCAUCAGUGUUCAAGAUCCAGACGUUCAGGAGGAUUUCACCGGCAGCUGAGUUAUCCGCAGAGGUGUCUUUGUGUCCUUAACAAAUGAACCAGGGCCAGGUUGCUGGGGCAUCAGGCUAAGCCAAGCACCCCAGACAUCACUCUCCCCAGCAACCCUUUCCAGCUCCUCCUGGUGGACCCCAAGGCGUUCUCAGGCCAGACGAGAUAUGUAAUCCCUCCAGCGUGUUCUGGGUCUGUCCCAAGGCCUCCUACCAGUGGGACAUGCCCAGAAAACCUCUAACGGGAGAUGCUCAGGGUGCACCCGGAUCAGAUGCCUGAACCACCUCAACUGACCCCUCUCAAUGCGAAGGAGCAUCGGCUCUACUCCGAG